AUAUUUUUUUGACACAGAUUGUCAAAGAGAAAUAUUUACAGCUAAAACAAGUGGGAAUUACAUGAUGGGAUUGGUAACAGAGUCAGUUCACUGGCAGUUCUACAUUAUUCUGUACACAACAUAGCUUCCGUGAGUCAGCAGCUCUGGUUACAUCUUAUAACCAAACAAUCACAGAGAGGUGAGAAGGGGGGAACAUCUGAUAACCGUGAAACGUAGCACACCGAUACCAACAUCUUUGUUUAGUACAGUUUCCAACAAAGAUCUUCAGUUCAGCACACCGAUACCAACAUCUUUGUUUAGUACAGUUUCCAACAAAGAUCUUCAGUUCAGUGAGUACGAGUGUCCACUACUCAAUGCCCUCCGAAGAACGUCGGCAUUCCACCCGAAUACAGAAUCAGAAGAGCUGUGAACACACGUCCAAGGAAAAGGUGUCACCUGG
Molecule: long non-coding RNA, 439 nt
Filed under: Hordeum vulgare
Lineage: Eukaryota; Viridiplantae; Streptophyta; Magnoliopsida; Poales; Poaceae
Description: long non-coding RNA (HVUL_LNC005836)
Source: RNAcentral